GACGAACGCUGGCGGCGUGCUUAACACAUGCAAGUCGAACGGGCCCGCCCCUGUUUUUGGGGGUGGGUUGAGUGGCGAACGGGUGAGUAUCACGUGAGUAACCUGCCCCCUGCUCCUGGAUAACUGCUUGAAAGGGCGGCUAAUACGGGGUGUGCCGGCUGGUCCGCAUGGGCCUGGUCGGGAUAGUUUCAUCUUCGGGUGUUUCGGUGGGGGAUGGGCUCGCGGCCUAUCAGCUUGUUGGUGGGGUGAUGGCCCACCAAGGCGGUGACGGGUAGCCGGCCUGAGAGGGUGGGCGGCCACACUGGGACUGAGACACGGCCCAGACGCCUGCGGGAGGCAGCAGGGGGGGGUAUUGCACAAUGGGCGGAAGCCUGAUGCAGCGACGGCGCGUGAGGGAUGGAGGCCUUCGGGUUGUGAACCUCUUUCUCCGGUGGUGAAGGCCCUGUCCGUUGCGGCGGGGUUGACGGUAGCCGGGUAUGAAGCGCCGGCUAACUACGUG
RNAcentral lists this ribosomal RNA (499 nucleotides) under uncultured bacterium. Its description in RNAcentral is "partial 16S ribosomal RNA". It matches the Rfam family "Bacterial small subunit ribosomal RNA", at positions 28 to 507 of the family's 1533-position model. The record is from RNAcentral.